Ictalurus punctatus (channel catfish) is the source of this 935-nucleotide long non-coding RNA. NCBI's taxonomy places the organism in Eukaryota, Metazoa, Chordata, Actinopteri, Siluriformes, Ictaluridae. The record is from Ensembl.
GUGGGACGGGAUGAUGUAGGGAUAUAACAUUCAGACCGGAAUAUAAUAAAUGAAGGCGAGAGUGAGGGACGGAAAAAGAAAAGGAGACGGAGAUUUACACAAUAGAGAAAUGAGCAGAACAAUAGACACGCUCAUCUGCGCACUGCUUUCAUUUUAAAGCGGAUUUUUCCCCUGAUUUUUUUGUUGUUGUUGUUGACGAAUCCGAAUUGAAUACCUUGUUGGGAAGGAGUGUUUUUUUCUCCCAAGGGUGUUAAAUUAAGGCUGGGCUCGAGGAGAGAGAGAGAGAGAGAGAGAGAGAGAGAGAGAUUCACAGAUGAUUAUUUAAAGAGAAUAGUUGUUUUUCAUCUUUGCAGUUAUUAUUUACACCCAGUGCAAAACCUGCACACACUCCAGCUGCACGCGCCUGCUCAGUUUUAUUUAUUUAUUAUUAUUAAUAAUAAUAAUAUUAUUCAUUUUAAUAGUGAGUGUGUGUGUGUGUGCAGGAACACAUGUAAAGCGAGCGAGUGAGAGGGGACGAGAAAAGGGAAGGCUAGAAAAAAAGGAGAAAGAAACAAGGAAGCAAUCCCUCUAUUCCUCUCUCCAUCUGAGCGCCUGUGCCCUUUUUGGUGCAGAUAUUAUUAUUAUUAUUAUUAAUAACAAUAUUAUUAAUCAUUUCUGCAAGUGAAUUUAAUAAUUUCUAAUGCGCGCGCCGGGAGUAUGCGACUCGGCGCUAAUCACAGCAACCAACAACAUUCAAGAAACAGAAACCUAGAGAAGGAAAGUGUGUGCGGUCUGGAUGGGAGGGACAUACUGUGUGUGUCGGACUCGGUCUGACGAGGGCGAGUAGUGCUGUCCUCACAGUCCCCUCUGAAAGUAUUGGAACAUUUCACCUGUGAAGACUGCAUUUGUUGUUAAAAAGGACAAACCAACAUGACGAUCAGAGAGCUGUCUAUGGG